RNAcentral lists this long non-coding RNA (5458 nucleotides) under Lathyrus oleraceus (garden pea). RNAcentral's name for it is "Pisum sativum (pea) long non-coding RNA (PSAT_LNC037094)". The record is from RNAcentral. Lineage: Eukaryota; Viridiplantae; Streptophyta; Magnoliopsida; Fabales; Fabaceae.
AUGAAGAUAGAAAGGAAGAGUACGUAGAGAGAUAGAGAUAUCAGAAAGAAAGGGGAAAAGAAGAGAAAAGGAGAAGAGAAAGAAAGAAGAGGAAACUUGGAGGAAAAAGAAGACUUGAAGAAGAAGUGGAAAACAUCAACAAUCAAACCAAAUUCUUUCCAUCAUCUUCAUCUUCAAGGUGAGUUCUUAGAUAGAUUUAACCUUGGGGAAUUUUGCAUUAAUUCAUAAUGAUAUAUGUUUUGAUAUGGAUAUCAGUGGUUGAAAUUGAAAAAGAGAGUGUUUAGAAUUCUCAAUCAGCUUGCAAAUUGAUUCAUGCGUCUCUUUAUCUAGUCUCCAUUUAUUCCCGUUCUUCUUAGUUGACAAAUAUCUAGUAUCAUUUUAUCCAAAUUUCAGAAAGAAAAAAAAUACCUGAGACGGAAAACCAUAAAAAUGCAGCAUUUACAUCAUUCAAUAAAUAGAAGCACUUUUAAAAAAUAACGAUUUAUUCUUAAAUGCACUUUUAAUGAAAAUUCGGAAUAGUUAAUAAAACAUAAACAUUACAAUGUUUCUACAAUGAGAAAAAUCCGCUUCAUGAAAAUAUAGUAUUUCAAUUAUAACACUUAAACUAGACCAAUGGAUAACCUACAUGAUAUAAAAUUAAACACAUUUUUUUAGUACAAUAGCCCCUCGCAAGGUUGCUUAUGUUUUGGGCAUUGCUCUUCCCAGUUAGUAGUGAAGAAUUACCUUAAAAAUUUCAAAAAUGUCCUUUAUUAAUCCAAAAGUAUAUUUAUGAAGGUAUUUUUUAUAAAUAAAAAUACGUUCUAAGUGAAACACAUCCCAUUUUUUAAAAAAUUAGUUUACAAGUGUAUUUCGGAACUCACCCCAUAUUAGAUUUUGUGUGAACAAUUCGGAGUGAAUCCGAAAAUGUACUUUUAGACAGGCUAAUUUUCUAAACAACGCUAACCAAGGUUACUCCUGAACUACAUUUCUGUACAAGCCUUAAUUUUACUAAAAAAAACAUGGUGUGUUCAAACUAAUUAAUAUACUUGUAGCACCAACUAAUGCUACAAUAAAAAUGGGUUUAGGCAACAACGAAAAACCGUUCCUUAAAGGUAUAAAACCGUUGCUUAAUGCUUUAGGGGACGGUUUAUCAAGCGUGGAAUAAACAGCCGUUGCUUAUUCCAUUAGAGCGCGGUUUUUUGAUUUCUACCUACGGAUUCUGAACACCAUCGCCUUAAAUAUCAAAGUCCACGGUUUUAGUUGAACUUUUAAGUUGCGGUUUUCAAGUAGCAACAUAAAAUAACUGUUCCCAAAGCAUGUGAAAAGGCAACGGUUAUUAAUAACCAACAGAUGUAAAUCGUAGCUUAAUCUAUAAUUUCAUUUACACAACACAUAUAACCGCGCCUAAAACAAAGGAAUAUACUACGGUUUUUGAUAAGCAACGCAUAAAAAGCGUUGUCUAUAGAUUGAAAAACAAAUCAAAUUUAUAUAUAACGUUAGACUUUGAAAGACAUAAUUAGUAUAAAAUUUUCUUGUUGUGCACUUUAGACUUUGAAAGAUAUAAUUAGUAUAGAAUUUUCCUGUUCAUUUAUAUGGUGAUACAUUUGUGAUCAUAUACCUUCACAUUAUUCUAAUAGAUUAUUUUUCAAUAUUAUUAGAAGAAGCACAUUUAUAAAUUGAAACAUAUAUAAAUAUGAAGUAUUAAUAAGAUGAAGUGUAAUCAACUCUUUGAAAUGCAAAAAAUACAAAUAUUUUCAAAAUAAAUCCAAGCAUAUAAGUUAUAGCUAGUUGGCUUAUGUAACUCCAUAAAACAAAACAUAAUCGUCAUAUUUAAAUCAAUGGCGGUCUUUAUCAUAUUCAUUGUGUUGAGGUCCAUGAGAAUCAUCAUCUUGAAAAUUAUCAUAUUGAAGAUCAUUAUCAUCUUGAUCAUAUUGAAGAUCAUCAUCAUCUGAUCAUAUUGAAGAUCAUCAUCAUCUUGAUUAUAUUGAAGAUUAUCGUCAUCUUGAAGAUCAUCAUCUUGUUUCAUCUUGAGGAUCAUCUUUGUUUCUAACCUAUAAACACUACUAGAAAAACAGUUAUUAGCGUAGGCCACUUUCAGACGCUAAAGGUGGAAAACCAGACACUAAAAUGUGGUUAGCGCGUCGGUUUAGGCGUCGGUGUCGGGCCUUGAAUAAAAGGUGCGAAGCUACUGUGUAACGUCGGCUGAAGAUACCCGAGGCUACGUAGCCUCGUGGAACAGAGGCUAACGCGGACACUAAUGGGACCGACGCUAUAUUGUUUAAAACCAUGAAAAGUCAAUAUUAUGUUUAGCGUUGCCCUGUCCGACUCUAAAGUCAACAAAAAAAGUCAACAUUUUUGUAUGCAUCGAUCGACUGGCAUUGAGGUCAAUUUAUAAAACUCAUGAAAAAAAAAUAAGCGUCCGUGUCACCGACCCUAAAGUCAACAUAGAAAAGUCUAUAAUAAUAUUUAGCCUUGCAUAUGAUAUGGAAGAAUAAUCAAAUCUCAAAUAAGCCUAUCAGAUGAAGAAUAAUCAUUUACUUGGAUAUGAUAUGGAAGAAUCAAUCCAUGGUCCAUCCAUUGAUUUGCCUCUUAGCUCUCUACUAUCUUGUAAAGAUGUUGAAGAAACAUUAGUUUGGCUAUCAUGUGAUUGUAUACGUGCGUUUUCGCACGCCAUGAGAUUCGUGUACGAAAUGAUGUUUCGACAAAUGAUGACAUGGGUUGGAACGGUUUGAUAAACAAGUAUGGUUCGACACUUCGACAAGAGGGAGGUUUCGUCAUUUCGACAAAGAUAUUCGCAGCUAGGAAGGUACUUUCGACAAAACACGGAAAGACAUUGCAGUAUGUUGGUAGAUUCGACAAAAUCCUGAAAGAAGACGUCAUUUCGACUUAACAUAUAAAUUUGAAUUUAAAAAGAUGUGACGUUUGGCAGAGGACGCGUGAAGCAUCUGGCGAAAGGAGGAAAGCCAUGUGUCGUAGUUUUAGGAUUUAGUCGUUAUGACAGUUAUGUUAUUUAUGUAUAUAUAGGGUAGUUAUUAUCUAAAAGUGUGUGAGAAUUACUAUAUACAAAAUUCCUGAAAACACUCAAAGUACCCGUGUGAAGAAAAGAGUCAUAUUUGGAAAUGUAUGUGUAAACAAACACCAAUUCUUUCAAAGUUUAUUAUAUAAAGUUCAAAGUUCUUUACAAAUCUCUUUAUGUUUUCCAGUCAUUAUCUUUCUGCACUUUAUCCUUUUCGACACUUUACAUUUCAUCAGUUAUUUUCCGCCAUUUACUUUAUCUUGUUAAAUUUACAUCCACUUAACAUUGUAAUCAACUCAUUUCGACGUAAAACACUUAGAGAACAGACUGAAAGAUAUGAAAGUGAUUUUAGACAUCUUCAAGACCAUCUAGAUUUGCACAUGUCCUAGGAUUUGUGUGGUUGACCUGGCAAGUAACCAAUUCUACACGUUUUGGUAAACCAGAGGUGUUCGCCAAAUUUCACAGCGAACAAUUGGCACGCCCAGUGGGACAGUGCAAAAAAUUUAGAAGUUAGAUAAUCGCUAGUCAAAAUCUGUUCUUCCUUUGCAUGAGACUAAGAAGCGGUAAAUAGCCGUAUCCGAAGUAGAAAUACCUAAAGAACAAGAGUAAGGAAAAUGGCGAACCAGCCAAAUAUCCCAACGAAUCCAUCCCAGUUCUAACCCUGUCCUUCGACAGAAGGCAAUAUAGGAUCGGUCCUGUGUCAGAGGCUGUACCUUCGUCAGCAGGGUCAAUACCAACGGUUUCGAUGUCACAAAAGGCGCUAGUUCGUCCUUCAGGGCACAACAAAUGCCCAUUGGGACACCCCCCCCCCCUGUGGAAACACUUCUAGGCUUUCGUAACGAAUUUCACCUUGGCUCGCCUGGUGGGAACAGCCCUUCGGAUGCCAACUUCGGUGAUGGCAAGUUUACAUAAUUCCCGUUAAUUAUUCAGAUCGAUGGCCAACGUGUCUUCACCCUUAAGGGUCAGGAUAGGUGAAACAUGGGUAGAUUGAAUCAACAACCACUUUACGUGCCGCCGAUAACAAAUAAUCGGCGCAAGUGAUUAGACAACAGAUGGACGAGAGUAAUCACGAUAUGGUCCAAAUGUUGAUGCAACAAAUGGGAGCGGUGUUUAAUCCACUGAUACAGAACACCACUCAAACAAACCAAGUAUUGGCAGCGCAAUGACGCGCAUUGCUGAUUUCUUUGGAGUCCCUCAAACUCGACACAGAGAGCAAGUGGUUCAUAACCCAGCGGUAGCGGUCCCGAAGAACCUACGAUAAACCAGGUACCGUUAGACAAUCCUCAAACGAACGUCAGAAACCAAGAGGAUGUGGUCGAACAGCCUCGUGUCGAAUCCCCCUUCCACAAGAGCCUAGAAGGAUAGUAAUCCAGAGAGGCCAGGACGCGGAUGCUGUAUUGCAACAACGAAUACGGUAUAAUAAUUCGCCUGUCGAAACAACUUGGCAGCCAUGGUCGAAACGAUAAUGGCACAAAAUGGAUGAACAUGGGUUUGCAAAGGCCUAGUUACGCAUCCCCACUAUCAGAAUACAUUCUGCAAGAAGAACUGCACCAAGGUGGAAAGUCCCUAAGUUCACAAAGUUCUCAGGGACACUAGUGAGUCCACUAUAGAACAUGUGGCACGUUAUCUGAUCGAGGCAGGGGAGAUAGCCCGUAACGAAAUUUGAAAAUAAAAUUAUUCCCUAGUUCCUUAACAAAAAACAGCGUUUACUUGGUUACAUCUUUGCCUGCAAACUCAGUGUACACGUGGACCCAGUUAGAAAGGCUGUUCCAUGAACAAUUCUACAUGGACAAACGAAAAUAAGUCUGAAAGAAUUAGCCAGUGUCAAGAGAAAACACUCCGAACCAAUAGAUGAUUAUUUAAAUAGGUUCGACUGUUAAAGGCUAGAUGUUUCACCCCAGUGCCAGACAUGAGUUGGUCGAAAUGGCCGCAGGGGGACUAGAUUAUUCCAUAAGGAAGAAAACUAGAUACCCAGUAUCUGAGGGAUAUGGCACAAUUAGCGGAUAGAGUGAGACAGGUCGAAAGAUUAAGGACGAAAAAUUCAGGGCAAAUAAGAAUAAAAAAGAGAGGGUAGCCUACGUAGGGGUUCGCCAAGAUGAUGAUUUCGACGAAGGCGGACCAAGUAGCUUCGACGAACAAAGAAAUCGACCUAGCAGAACUAAAACAAGCCCACCUUAUUCGUGUAAAGUACUAACGCCGUCGAACGGGGAACCCAGAUCGAAGCCAACGAUAAGUUCCCCCAAAAGGACUUAUACGUUCGACAUUACUAAAUGUGACGAAAAUCUUCGAUCUGUUGGUUAAAGAUGGUCAAUUUAAAUACCAGGCGCUAAAGAACCGCCUGUGGAACAACCAGAAAAAGAGAGGUUUUGUAAAUACCCAUAAUUUCUGGGCCAUAAGACGUCUCGUUGUUUCCUUUCAGGGAUCUCGUGCAAAAUGCUAUCUGUGAUGGAAGGCUCAAGUUUG